This 1948-nucleotide long non-coding RNA is filed under the name Daucus carota (carrot). RNAcentral's name for it is "long non-coding RNA (DCAR_LNC000400)". Lineage: Eukaryota; Viridiplantae; Streptophyta; Magnoliopsida; Apiales; Apiaceae. The record is from RNAcentral.
CUCCAAGGAAUACUAUUAAGACAAAUGUAUAAUAAAAUGUUUUGACAUUACAAUGAAUACUUAUUUUUGUGACAUUGUUGAAAGCCAAGUUGACAACACCACUGCAUGAAAAAAAGUGAAUCAUAUGAAGCCUCUCAACAUCCCUUGACCUGGAAAAAAGAGAAAAAAUUAGAGAAAUGAUGGAGUAAUGCUACAAUUAAUCUACCACUCAAGUGUUUCACUUAGGCAUAUAACUUAUAAGAGUGAGUUGAAGUAAGACUUACUAUAUUUGUUAUAAUAUAUAUAAGAUAUAUAUGACCCGUUGUUACAGUACGUAUAAGAUAUAAAAUAGAAUCUGAUAUGCAUGUAGACUCGAAUAACAUAAUAAUACACAGUUACUCUAAUUAAAUCACAUUAUCUCUUUAAAUAUGCAUAGACAAAAAUAAUUGCCCUAGAAAUUUUGUCUUUAAAAGAUGAAUUACAACAAGAUUCUCACAGGUCUUUAGAAGCCACUAAUGAGCACCAAACCGGACUUAAUCUUCUGUCAUGUCUGAUGUUGUUAGCAUCUAACAAAGCCUGCAGAGAAACAUUUGAAUUUUUCUAGAAGUAUUUGCCUUUUUUGGACUCAAACUUAACAACUUCUGUCUUUCACAAUCAGGAGGGUGUAAAUCAGUCCCAUUCUUUUUAUCUCUGGUUUUCCUUUUAGUUCUAAAAGAAAGUUAUUUAGUCUUCACAACAUUUGUAGGUUCUGACUUGGAUGCAGAUUCUUGUAAGGUAGACAUUGAGAAUUUACACCUAUUUGCAACUUCUACCAGAAAGUUCAGAGACUUCCAUUAAAUCAACAUGAGAAUUCAAAAGUCAUCUUAAAACUAUUUUUUAUGUGUGAUAACAUCUUCUGCCCUUUAUACAUUCACAUCCCAUGCAUACCUUCACACCCAAACAUCAUAAUAUCCUUGACAUGGUCACAAUUUCAAUACAGAGCAUUAACAAUUAUAAUUAUGCUUGAAUUGAAAGUUAAGGAAAUUAUAUCCAUUCAUGUUAGUUCCAAGUACCAAAAACAAAAAUAUAUCACACAACAAAUUUCACAAAGCCGAUCACAGUUUUAAUACAAUGGAAAAAAAUCAUACAGCAAACACAAAUUCAACUCAAACCCAUCAAAAAAUACACACCCCCUCCAUCUUACACACAUACAUGAAACUAAACAAAAACAAAUUACCUAAUAGGCCGUCUAUCAAAAUGAGCCCAAAAUUUAUCAUCAAAAUCAGCUUCUUCGGCCACUUUAUUCUCUGAAUCUUUGAGUUUCCACUUUAGGCUCGAAUUGAAGCAAUUAGCUUGUUGCAGACAAAAUCUACAAAAGAAAAUCGAACAUGAGAAACAGUAGAAAGCCUUGGUAAUUGAAAAGGCUAAACAAAAGAUGUUAAUUAUGCAUAAUUAUACAUCCUGCAUCUACAAAACAUCCAUUCCCAAAGAAACCCAUAGCAAGCUUAAAUUACUCCCAGAACAAAAAUACAAAACAAAACUAUACAAAAAAAAUCAAGAGAGAGAUAGAGAGAGAGAAUUGAAGAUACAAAACUCCAUGGCCCAAAACUAAAAUUAAAUUAGUAAAAUCAUCUCUCUCCUCAUCAUAAUAUAAUUGGUUGUUAAACUGAGCAGCAUGGUCAACGCCUCCAUCGGAAACUUAUAUGGUCCGCCGGGUCACUGCCAAUGGCAACAGAUCUGGGAGUUUUGUCGAAAAUCAAAUAGAGAGGGGGAGGGAGGGAGGGAGGGAGAGGGGCGAAUAUAGAAAUCAGGGGAGAGAGGGAGGGAUAUGCUCUGUGACGAGAGGAAGAGAAAGAUGUAGAACAAGAGAGAUGCUCAUCUGAAUCUCUGCCUUACAAAUCUAACAGGGGGAAGUGAAAAUUUGGGUUAAUAGAUAAAGGGGGGAAAUGAAAAUUUGGGUUAAGAGAUAAGGGGGGAAGUGAAAACGUUU